ACUCCUACGGGAGGCAGCAGUGGGGAAUAUUGCACAAUGGGCGCAAGCCUGAUGCAGCCAUGCCGCGUGUAUGAAGAAGGCCUUCGGGUUGUAAAGUACUUUCAGCAGUGAGGAAGGUGGGUAUGUUAAUAGCAUACUCAUUUGACGUUAGCUGCAGAAGAAGCACCGGCUAACUCCGUGCCAGCAGCCGCGGUAAUACGGAGGGUGCGAGCGUUAAUCGGAAUUACUGGGCGUAAAGCGCAUGCAGGUGGUUUGUUAAGUCAGAUGUGAAAGCCCGGGGCUCAACCUCGGAAUUGCAUUUGAAACUGGCAAACUAGAGUACUGUAGAGGGGGGUAGAAUUUCGGGUGUAGCGGUGAAAUGCGUAGAGAUCUGAAGGAAUACCGGUGGCGAAGGCGGCCCCCUGGACAGAUACUGACACUCAGAUGCGAAAGCGUGGGGAGCAAACAGGAUUAGAUACCCUGGUAGACGUAG
Molecule: ribosomal RNA, 472 nt
Filed under: uncultured bacterium
Lineage: Bacteria
Description: bacterial SSU rRNA
Rfam family: Bacterial small subunit ribosomal RNA
Source: RNAcentral